UACGUAGGGAGCAAGCGUUGUCCGGAAUCAUUGGGCGUAAAGCGCGCGUAGGCGGCUCAGUAAGUCUGUUGUGAAAGCCCAGGGCUCAACCCUGGAACGCCGAUGGAUACUGCUGAGCUCGAGUCCGGAAGAGGCGAGUGGAAUUCCUGGUGUAGCGGUGAAAUGCGCAGAUAUCAGGAGGAACACCAAUGGCGAAGGCAGCUCGCUGGGACGGUACUGACGCUAAGGCGCGAAAGCGUGGGGAGCAAACAGG
RNAcentral lists this ribosomal RNA (253 nucleotides) under uncultured bacterium. RNAcentral describes it as "partial 16S ribosomal RNA". It matches the Rfam family "Bacterial small subunit ribosomal RNA", at positions 524 to 776 of the family's 1533-position model. The record is from RNAcentral.